UCCUUCAGUGCACAGGUCCCUCCAG
Molecule: non-coding RNA, 25 nt
Filed under: Rattus norvegicus (Norway rat)
Lineage: Eukaryota; Metazoa; Chordata; Mammalia; Rodentia; Muridae
Source: RNAcentral